GCGUCUGUAGCUCAGCUGGAUAGAGUGCCGCCCUCCGGAGGCGAAGGUCUGGGGUUCGAAUCCCCACAGACGCGCCA
This 77-nucleotide transfer RNA is filed under the name Cloacibacillus sp. An23. Its description in RNAcentral is "tRNA-Arg". It matches the Rfam family "tRNA". Rfam says of the family: Transfer RNA (tRNA) molecules are approximately 80 nucleotides in length. Their secondary structure includes four short double-helical elements and three loops (D, anti-codon, and T loops). The record is from RNAcentral. RNAcentral also lists the same sequence under 1 other name. Lineage: Bacteria; Thermotogati; Synergistota; Synergistia; Synergistales; Synergistaceae.